Molecule: unclassified non-coding RNA, 117 nt
Organism: Pongo abelii (Sumatran orangutan)
Lineage: Eukaryota; Metazoa; Chordata; Mammalia; Primates; Hominidae
Rfam family: Metazoan signal recognition particle RNA
About the family: The signal recognition particle (SRP) is a universally conserved ribonucleoprotein. It is involved in the co-translational targeting of proteins to membranes. The eukaryotic SRP consists of a 300-nucleotide 7S RNA and six proteins: SRPs 72, 68, 54, 19, 14, and 9.
Source: Ensembl
GCCAGGCAAGAUGGCUGAUGCCUGUAAUCCCAGCACUUUGGGAGGCUGAGGUGGGAGGAUCCCUUGAGCCCAGGAGUUCAAGACUAGCCUGGGCAACAUAGGGAGACCCUGUCUCUU